AGGACGAACGCUGGCGGCACGCUUAACACAUGCAAGUCGAACGGAGAAAUUGGAUUAUUCAUUUCUAGUGGCGGACGGGUGAGUAACACGUGAGCAACCUGCCUUUGAGAGGGGAAUAGCUUCGGGAAACUGAUGGUAAUACCCUAUAACAUACAGAAACCGCAUGAUUUUUGUAUCAAAGAUUUAUCACUCAAAGAUGGGCUCGCGUCUGAUUAGGUAGUUGGUGAGGUAACGGCUCACCAAGCCGACGAUCAGUAGCCGGACUGAGAGGUUGAACGGCCACAUUGGGACUGAGACACGGCCCAGACUCCUACGGGAGGCAGCAGUGGGGAAUAUUGCACAAUGGGGGGAACCCUGAUGCAGCGAUGCCGCGUGGAGGAAGAGGGUUUUCGGAUUGUAAACUCCUUUUGUAUGGGAAGAUAAUGACUGUACCAUACGAAUAAGCUCCGGCUAACUACGUGCCAGCCGCGGC
RNAcentral lists this ribosomal RNA (472 nucleotides) under uncultured bacterium. Its description in RNAcentral is "bacterial SSU rRNA". It matches the Rfam family "Bacterial small subunit ribosomal RNA", at positions 26 to 518 of the family's 1533-position model. The record is from RNAcentral.